Molecule: ribosomal RNA, 461 nt
Filed under: Candidatus Babelota bacterium
Lineage: Bacteria
Description: Candidatus Dependentiae bacterium partial 23S ribosomal RNA
Rfam family: Bacterial large subunit ribosomal RNA
Source: RNAcentral
UGGCACCUCGAUGUCGGCUCAUCGCAUCCUGGGGCUGGAGAAGGUCCCAAGGGUCUGGCUGUUCGCCAGUUAAAGCGGUACGCGAGCUGGGUUCAGAACGUCGUAAGACAGUUCGGUCCUUAUCCGUCGUGGGCGUAGGGUAUUUGAGAGGGCUUGUCCUUAGUACGCAAGGACCGGGAUGAGCAAACCGCUAGUGUUCCAGUUGUUCUCCAAGAGCAACGCUGGGUAGCUACGUUUGUAAGAGAUAACCGCUGAAAGCAUCUAAGUGGGAAACUCGCCUCGAGAUUAGAUACCCCGUACUCGAUUAAAUUGAAUGAAGGCUUCGGCCCGAUUUCAGUGGCGUUGAGUACAUUAAUAAGACUCCUUGAAGACUACAAGGUUGAUAGGCUGGGUGUGUAAGCACAGUAAUGUGUUCAGCUAACCAGUACUAAUAAGUCGAAUGUUUUAACCUAUUUAAAUUA